CCUACGGGUGGCAGCAGUGGGGAAUAUUGCACAAUGGGCGCAAGCCUGAUGCAGCCAUGCCGCGUGUGUGAAGAAGGCCUUCGGGUUGUAAAGCACUUUCAGCGGGGAGGAAGGCGUUAAGGUUAAUAACCUUGGCGAUUGACGUUACCCGCAGAAGAAGCACCGGCUAACUCCGUGCCAGCAGCCGCGGUAAUACGGAGGGUGCAAGCGUUAAUCGGAAUUACUGGGCGUAAAGCGCACGCAGGCGGUCUGUCGAGUCGGAUGUGAAAUCCCCGGGCUCAACCUGGGAACUGCAUUCGAAACUGGCAGGCUAGAGUCUUGUAGAGGGGGGUAGAAUUCCAGGUGUAGCGGUGAAAUGCGUAGAGAUCUGGAGGAAUACCGGUGGCGAAGGCGGCCCCCUGGACAAAGACUGACGCUCAGGUGCGAAAGCGUGGGGAGCAAACAGGAUUAGAUACCCGUGUAGUC
This 465-nucleotide ribosomal RNA is filed under the name uncultured Klebsiella sp. RNAcentral describes it as "bacterial SSU rRNA". It matches the Rfam family "Bacterial small subunit ribosomal RNA", at positions 338 to 795 of the family's 1533-position model. The record is from RNAcentral. Lineage: Bacteria; Pseudomonadati; Pseudomonadota; Gammaproteobacteria; Enterobacterales; Enterobacteriaceae.